AGGAUGAACGCUGGCGGCGUGCUUAACACAUGCAAGUCGAACGAUGAAGCGGAGCUUGCUCUGUGGAUUAGUGGCGAACGGGUGAGUAACACGUGAGUAACCUGCCCUUGACUCUGGGAUAAGCACUGGAAACGGUGUCUAAUACCGGAUACGAGCUUCAGCCGCAUGGCUAGGAGUUGGAAAGAAUUUCGGUCAAGGAUGGACUCGCGGCCUAUCAGGUAGUUGGUGAGGUAAUGGCCCACCAAGCCUACGACGGGUAGCCGGCCUGAGAGGGUGACCGGCCACACUGGGACUGAGACACGGUCCAGACUCCUACGGGAGGCAGCAGUGGGGAAUAUUGCACAAUGGGCGCAAGCCUGAUGCAGCAACGCCGCGUGAGGGACGACGGCCUUCGGGUUGUAACCUCUUUAGUAGGGAAGAAGCGAAAGUGACGGUACCUGCAGAAAAGCACCGGCUAACUACGCGCCAGCAGCCGCGGU
This 479-nucleotide ribosomal RNA is filed under the name uncultured bacterium. RNAcentral describes it as "SSU rRNA". It matches the Rfam family "Bacterial small subunit ribosomal RNA", at positions 26 to 521 of the family's 1533-position model. The record is from RNAcentral.